UAUCACAACUUCAAUUGUAAA
Molecule: non-coding RNA, 21 nt
Organism: Caenorhabditis elegans
Lineage: Eukaryota; Metazoa; Nematoda; Chromadorea; Rhabditida; Rhabditidae
Source: Ensembl